Long non-coding RNA from Pieris napi, 223 nucleotides. RefSeq lists it as uncharacterized. The record is from RefSeq and is a predicted model, not a curated record. The transcript is spliced from 2 exons. Lineage: Eukaryota; Metazoa; Arthropoda; Insecta; Lepidoptera; Pieridae.
UUUAAAUUAACAGUAAUACAAUGCGAUUCAAGUUUAAAAGAUAAACAGGACGAAGGUUUUAAAAUCGCCGAAACAGUUAUGGAAAAUUUCCAAAAUAUGUUUUCCGAAUGCGCAGAUACCAGUAUGCCACAUCAGAAGUAAGUUUUUAUAAAAAUAUUUCUACGCAUAAACUUAACGGUUCUUUAUUUGUUGAUUACCGUAUUUAUAUUAAUAUCUACCAAAU